GACGAACGCUGGCGGCGGGCUUAACACAUGCAAGUCGAACGGAAAGGCCCUGCUGUUGUGGGGUGCUCGAGUGGCGAACGGGUGAGUAACACGUGAGUAACCUGCUCUUGACUUUGGGAUAACUUCAGGAAACUGGGGCUAAUACCGGAUAGUAGCUCCUGCUGCAUGGUGGGGGUGGGAAAGUUUCGGCGGUCGGGGAUGGACGCGCGGCUUAUCAGCUUGUUGGUGGGGUAGUGGCUUACCAAGGCUUUGACGGGUAGCCGACCUGAGAGGGUGACCGGGCACAUUGGGACUGAGAUACGGUGCAGACUCGUACGGGAGGCAGCAGUGGGGAAUAUUGCACAAUGGGCGGAAGCCUGAUGCAGCAACGCCGCGUGCGGGAUGACGGCCUUCGGGUUGUAAACCGCUUUCGCCUGUGACGAAGCGUGAGUGACGGUAAUGGGUAAAGAAGCACCGGCUAACUACGUG
Molecule: ribosomal RNA, 468 nt
Filed under: uncultured bacterium
Lineage: Bacteria
Description: partial 16S ribosomal RNA
Rfam family: Bacterial small subunit ribosomal RNA
Source: RNAcentral